UGAAGCUGGAAUCGCUAGUAAUCGCAGGUCAGCAUACUGCGGUGAAUACGUUCCCGGGUCUUGUACACACCGCCCGUCACACCAUGGGAGCCGGAAAUGCCCGAAGCCAGUGACCCAACCUUAGGGAGGGAGCUGUCGAAGGUGGAGCCGGUAACUGGGGUGAAGUCGUAACAAGGUAAC
Molecule: ribosomal RNA, 180 nt
Filed under: uncultured bacterium
Lineage: Bacteria
Description: partial 16S ribosomal RNA
Rfam family: Bacterial small subunit ribosomal RNA
Source: RNAcentral